This 2084-nucleotide ribosomal RNA is filed under the name Triticum aestivum (bread wheat). RNAcentral describes it as "partial small subunit ribosomal RNA". Lineage: Eukaryota; Viridiplantae; Streptophyta; Magnoliopsida; Poales; Poaceae. The record is from RNAcentral.
AUCCCCAUCCCACCCGAUGCGCCUCUGAAGUAGUUCCACUCCAGUCAAGUGUCCCCGUGGAGCCUCCGUCUCCGUGCCCUACAGCUGCCGCCGUGCCGUCUCUCGACGCCGACGCCUCAGGCCGAACGCCCCCAACCCCCUCCUCGCGGGCCGCCGCCGCCGCCGUCCCCGUUCCACCUCGCGGCGUCGCUGCCGCCUCCGCCCCGCCCGCCGCUUCGGCCAUUGGCCUCUGAGAUUUCGGUCUUCCAGGAGCGACAGAGGCGAAAUGGAGACGAAUGAGAAGAACGCCGCUGAUUUGGAGGAGAAGAACCAGCCCAGCGGGCACAGCCAGCAGCCGAGCUUCCACGGACCGGGCUUCUCGCUCUCGCCGGAAGCUCAGAUGGAUUCUUCCAGCAGUGCGCUGGCCGCCAUGGGGAAUCCGUUCCCUCCUGGCUUAUGGAACCCACCUGGCCAGAACUUCGGGUUGGGGGAGACCAACACGAACGCUAUGCUGAAUGGACACCAGUUCUCCUCGUUUUUGGGGAUGCUGUCAGCAGCAACGCCCGCAUAUCCCGGCGCCCAGUCGGGGUUCAUGGAUUGCGGAACAGGGUUUCCUGGCUUAAGUGCAAACAGUCUUGGAGCCAUGAUGGAUCACCCUUUUUCCAGGAACCCUCCUAUGGGUAGUUUCCAAAACGAUAUUGAGACGUCUAGGGAGAUGAAUGUGGACGAAGGUUGCAAGGAUGCAUUAUUGACUGGUGAUAGGCAGCAAGGAGAUGCCGAGAGUUCACAUGGUGUUGAUGCCUCUAGCAAGGAGUUAAGCAAGCCGGAGUGCAGUGGAGGUGCUGGUCAGGAUGAAGGGCCUAGUGUCUCUUGUCCCAAGAAGAGGAAAAGACCAAGCCAGGAUCGUGGGGUGAAGAAUGUACAAGAAGGAAGCCAGCAAUUGGCAACUCUGGCUGCAAAGCAGGAGAAAGAUGAUGAUGACAAAGAUGAACCAAAGAGGCCUAUUGGGACAUCCAGAAAGUCCAACGGUAAGCAAACUGAGGAUAAAUCUGAUGCGCCAAAGGAAGAUUACAUUCAUAUAAGAGCUCGAAGUGGCCAGGCUACAAACAGCCAUAGUCUUGCAGAAAGGGUUCGGAGGGAAAAGAUUAGUGAAAGGAUGAAAUUUCUUCAGGACCUUGUUCCUGGUUGUAGUAAAGUCAUUGGCAAAGCCGUUAUGCUGGAUGAGAUAAUCAAUUAUGUUCAAUCAUUACAGCGGCAAGUUGAGUUUUUGUCGAUGAAACUUUCAGCUGUCAAUCCAGCGCUAGACUUCAACAUAGAGCGCAUUCUAUCUAAGGAGUUAUUUCAGUCUCAAGGAACUGCAUCGUCUACCUUUGGCUUCUUACCAGACAUUGGCCAUCAAUUUUUGCAUCCACCAAAACAUUCUCAAGCUGCGUUGCACAGCAUCGUAAAUCCUGCCGAUGCAUUUGGAAGAGUAACAAAUGCUCCGGUAGGAUGUACAUUCAAAGAGGCCACACAUCAGGUGCCCAAUAGUUUUGAUGGAGAGUUCCACAACGUAAUCGGGAUGCCUUUUACCCUUUUUAACGACCAAGAAUCAAAUGGUAAACCAUGAGCAAUAGAUUCCGCAACCGAAGUAAGAGAUCAUAACGGCCAUGAGAUUUCAACAGAACAACAUCACUUGAUGUCCUAUAGAGGCCCUUUCCUCAGUUGUGCCAUCUGCUAUUGGAGGAAGCUGGAGAUCCGACCGUCAGGACGUCCACGUGGAGAUUUCAAGCAUUACAUUCUCCUCUGAAAAUUUACGUGUAUAACUAUUGGUGAUUCAACAAUCUUUGCAUCAUGAUGGUGAGUUCCAUUUUGCCAGAAGGUGGCCGUAUCUGGGUACCAUCUAGUUCAGACCCAGUAAUAUUGUAAAAUGCUCUCUUUCCGCAAGACACUCCGCGGUAUAAUAUAACAGCUUUCAAUUUGUUAGUUGCUAGUAUUGUGACUGAGAGUGAAAGAAGAUUCUUUGUUGUACUUCUAUGGUUGCAUAUGCAACCAUAUAGAACUGUGUACUGGUUUUCGAUUUCUUGAGAAUAAAUGGGGCCUGAGAAAGGGCCUAUUUUCAGCGC